This is a non-coding RNA of Ceratotherium simum simum (southern white rhinoceros), 89 nucleotides long. NCBI's taxonomy places the organism in Eukaryota, Metazoa, Chordata, Mammalia, Perissodactyla, Rhinocerotidae. The record is from RefSeq and is a predicted model, not a curated record.
CAGAAAUAGAAAUUUGUAGUGAUGUGCACCUGAGAUUUGUACAGUGUUGUGAACCAAUGUUACUGCAAUAAACAAAAAAUUAAAAAAAA